This 254-nucleotide ribosomal RNA is filed under the name uncultured bacterium. RNAcentral describes it as "partial 16S ribosomal RNA". It matches the Rfam family "Bacterial small subunit ribosomal RNA", at positions 524 to 776 of the family's 1533-position model. The record is from RNAcentral.
UACGUAGGGUGCGAGCGUUAAUCGGAAUUACUGGGCGUAAAGCGUGCGCAGGCGGUUUGUUAAGACAGGCGUGAAAUCCCCGGGCUCAACCUGGGAACGGCGCUUGUGACUGGCAGGCUAGAGUACGGCAGAGGGGGGUGGAAUUCCACGUGUAGCAGUGAAAUGCGUAGAGAUGUGGGAGGAACACCGAUGGCGAAGGCAGCCCCCUGGGCCGAUACUGACGCUCAUGCACGAAAGCGUGGGGAGCAAACAGG